CCUACGGGAGGCAGCAGUAAGGAAUAUUGGUCAAUGGACGAAAGUCUGAACCAGCCAUGCCGCGUGAAGGAUUAAGGCCCUCUGGGUUGUAAACUUCUUUUAUCUGGGACGAAAAAAGGGUAUUCUUACUCACUUGACGGUACCAGAGGAAUAAGCACCGGCUAACUCCGUGCCAGCAGCCGCGGUAAUACGGAGGGUGCAAGCGUUAUCCGGAUUUACUGGGUUUAAAGGGUGCGUAGGUGGGCUUGUAAGUCAGUGGUGAAAUCUCCGGGCUUAACCCGGAAACUGCCAUUGAUACUAUAGGUCUUGAAUUAUCUGGAGGUAAGCGGAAUAUGUCAUGUAGCGGUGAAAUGCUUAGAUAUGACAUAGAACACCAAUUGCGAAGGCAGCUUACUACGGAUACAUUGACACUGAGGCACGAAAGCGUGGGGAUCAAACAGGAUUAGAUACCCUGGUAGUCCACGCCCUAAACGAUGGAUACUCGACAUCAGCGAUACACUGUUGGUGUCUGAGNGAAGANAUAGUAUCCACCNGAGUAGANCGCAGAUGAACACAAGAAGUAGACGCGUGAGACGUGCGACGGACGACGACGAGGGAGGAGG
RNAcentral lists this ribosomal RNA (602 nucleotides) under uncultured bacterium. RNAcentral describes it as "bacterial SSU rRNA". The stretch from base 1 to 532 matches the Rfam family "Bacterial small subunit ribosomal RNA", at positions 338 to 873 of the family's 1533-position model. The record is from RNAcentral.